CGGCUCUGUAGCUCAGUGGUUAGAGUAGGGGACUCAUAAGCCCUUGGUCGCAGGUUCAAGUCCAGCCAGAGUCAUUUU
This 78-nucleotide transfer RNA is filed under the name Sargassum hemiphyllum var. chinense. RNAcentral describes it as "tRNA-Met". It matches the Rfam family "tRNA". From Rfam's summary of the family: Transfer RNA (tRNA) molecules are approximately 80 nucleotides in length. Their secondary structure includes four short double-helical elements and three loops (D, anti-codon, and T loops). Further hydrogen bonds mediate the characteristic L-shaped molecular structure. tRNAs have two regions of fundamental functional importance: the anti-codon, which is responsible for specific mRNA codon recognition, and the 3' end, to which the tRNAs corresponding amino acid is attached (by aminoacyl-tRNA synthetases). tRNAs cope with the degeneracy of the genetic code in two manners: having more than one tRNA (with a specific anti-codon) for a particular amino acid; and 'wobble' base-pairing, i.e. permitting non-standard base-pairing at the 3rd anti-codon position. The record is from RNAcentral. Lineage: Eukaryota; Phaeophyceae; Fucales; Sargassaceae.